GACGAACGCUGGCGGCGUGCCUAAUACAUGCAGGUAGAACGCACAGUUUAUACCGUAGCUUGCUACACCAUAGACUGUGAGUUGCGAACGGGUGAGUAACGCGUAGGUAACCUGCCUGGUAGCGGGGGAUAACUAUUGGAAACGAUAGCUAAUACCGCAUAAUAUUAAUUAUUGCAUGAUAAUUAAUUGAAAGGUGCAAUUGCACCACUACCAGAUGGACCUGCGUUGUAUUAGCUAGUAGGUGAGGUAACGGCUCACCUAGGCGACGAUACAUAGCCGACCUGAGAGGGUGAUCGGCCACACUGGGACUGAGACACGGCCCAGACUCCUACGGGAGGCAGCAGUAGGGAAUCUUCGGCAAUGGACGAAAGUCUGACCGAGCAACGCCGCGUGAGUGAAGAAGGUUUUCGGAUCGUAAAGCUCUGUUGUAAGAGAAGAACGGGUGUGAGAGUGGAAAGUUCACACUGUGACGGUAUCUUACCAGAAAGGGACGGCUAACUACGU
RNAcentral lists this ribosomal RNA (504 nucleotides) under uncultured bacterium. RNAcentral's name for it is "partial 16S ribosomal RNA". It matches the Rfam family "Bacterial small subunit ribosomal RNA", at positions 28 to 506 of the family's 1533-position model. The record is from RNAcentral.